RNAcentral lists this long non-coding RNA (731 nucleotides) under Homo sapiens (human). Its description in RNAcentral is "non-protein coding AGBL1-AS1:2". The record is from RNAcentral. Lineage: Eukaryota; Metazoa; Chordata; Mammalia; Primates; Hominidae.
AAAGGAUGGAGAGGAAGAAGCCGGAAACAGAUGAGAGGACGGCUCAUAGCCCUGAAAGUCCCAGUUCAAGCUUCCACAAUCAUCCUACACAAGAGCACUGCUUCUCACAGGACUGCCUCAGCCUGGCAGGAUUCAGUCUCCUGCUCUGAGGGAAAAACAGGAAGUCAAGGAUCAAGACCGAGUGCUCAACUGAGAUCAGAAAGGAGGACACACAGUGACUUGGCCAAAUCACUGGAGAUUCACACAGCAGAGCUCAGACGAGUGCUAUCAGCACAGCUGAGGAAGACAACAGUUAGGGUGCAAGGAUCCUGAAAGAGAAACAUUGGUUGUGUUUUUAUUCCUUGGGUAUAAGAAUCCUGAAAGAGAAAGGCAUCUGAACCUUGGAGGCAUGGGGUUCAUCUCAUCCUCAUCCAGCCUGUGAUGAUGGAGCUGUUUUCACCAGAAACGUGAGGAGACUCAUACCACUUGAGUUCUGCUUAAAUUCAGCAUCUUCUCUCAGUUCAAAUUUAAGAAAGGAGAUACCACACCACCCACCGACAUAUCCCAUUCUGGAAGAGUAUACAAACUAAAGAUAGAAAACUUCUCAAAUCUACCUGGAAGCUUGCAUAUUCAAAGGGUAUGCUAAUCAAAGUACCUAUUCACAUAUAAUGUGUUGAAGGAUUUAAGUAGGCUAAAUGUAAUUAUGCCAGACUACCAUUAACCAAUGGAGACUAGGCUCAGAAGGCACUGAA